This 827-nucleotide long non-coding RNA is filed under the name Homo sapiens (human). RNAcentral describes it as "HSALNT0396611". Lineage: Eukaryota; Metazoa; Chordata; Mammalia; Primates; Hominidae. The record is from RNAcentral.
CUGUUUUUCUUUUAAAAUCCCAGGUUGCCUACUCAAAAGACUAAAGGCCAGAAAGCUUAUGAAAUGUUAAAUUUUAAAAUAAUUGUUAUUAUAGUGUUUCCAUUUGUGAACAACAUAUAUGUGUGUAUGAAUAAAAUUUAUAAAUGGACAUAACCUUAUACACAAGAUUUAAAAUAACCCCUGGGCACAUGUGGGCCCAACCCAGAGAUAGCCCUUCCUGAAAUGACUGGAGCCAAGAGCCUGUCACGCUCGCGGUAUUCAGUGCAAGGUCUGAUCGCGUCUUCUGUCACUCAAGGCCUGAGGGCGCGGAGCCUGGAGCUCUAUCCAUUAAGGGCGCUGGGGUGGGAACUGUCCAAUCAGGUUCACAGUCAGAGAGGAAGGGGUGGCUCCCGGUACCUGGCGGGGCCUUUGUCUCUUGCUCCAGCCAGAGCUCGAGGUUAGCUCUUCACUGCCCUGUGUCUUCUUUCCAAGGGUCUCGGUGAUUCGGCCACAGCCUCAGCCUCCAUCACGCGGUGAACUGAUGGUGCUGGAAGAUUCAUAGACUCCAGGACAUUCCUGAAGCCGAGAAAAGGUUAAGUAGGGUCUGGCCUGGAAUACUCUCCUAGAUGAAGAUAGCCCAACCAUGAGCCACCUUCGAAGCAGAUGAGAUGAAAUUAAAGCUCUUCAACUCCUAAAGGCCCAGAGACUAUCACAAAAGAGGUCAGAAAUCCUGAAGGUCACUUUCUGACAAACUCAGGAACCCCAGGUUUAUCUUGGAGCCUCAAGAGGAGAUAAAUUCACCCAACUCAGUAAAAUACGGAUGCCAAGCCGAGGCUGGACUGUGCUGC